UAGUCCACGCCGUAAACGAUGGUCACUAGCUGUUCGAACUUCGGUUUGAGUGGCUAAGAGAAAUUGAUAAGUGACCCACCUGGGGAGUACGUUCGCAAGAAUGAAACUCAAAGGAAUUGACGGGGGCCCGCACAAGCGGUGGAGCAUGUGGUUUAAUUCGAUGAUACGCGAGGAACCUUACCAGGGCUUAAAUGUAGAUUGACAGGACUAGAGAUAGUUUUUCCUUCGGGCAAUUUACAAGGUGCUGCAUGGUUGUCGUCAGCUCGUGCCGUGAGGUGUCAGGUUAAGUCCUAUAACGAGCGCAACCCCUAUUACUAGUUGCCAGCACUUCGGGUGGGGACUCUAGUAAGACUGCCGGCGUAAGCCGCGAGGAAGGUGGGGACGACGUCAAAUCAUCAUGGCCUUUAUGCCUAGGGCGACACACGUGCUACAAUGGUAGGGACAGAGGGUAGCGAAUCAGUGAUGUGGAGCUAAUCUCAAAAACCCUAUCCCAGUUCGGA
This 500-nucleotide ribosomal RNA is filed under the name uncultured bacterium. RNAcentral describes it as "bacterial SSU rRNA". It matches the Rfam family "Bacterial small subunit ribosomal RNA", at positions 791 to 1297 of the family's 1533-position model. The record is from RNAcentral.